AUGGGCACAGAAUUUUAUGAGACCAUGUUCAUCAAAGGAGCCCGAACUGAGACUGAGGAUGAUCUGAACCAAUUGUUCGAAGGAUCAAUCGACAGAGGUAGAGGUGGUUCAGAAAUUGAAGGACAGAGUUUGUGCACUUUUUGGCAUCCACCAUCGCCCGAUUCAAGCCCAAUGCUAGUGGAGAAGAUGGUGGCGCCGGUUGUCACCCGCGCCUCCCUCCCAUGCUUCCACUACCAGCCAAGCACCUCCUCGGAGAUGCCAUCUCAUGGAGUGCCGCGUCGUCCACACACUGCUCCAGUCCAGCUCGGACGAGGAGGACGAUGUUGGUCCGGCAUAAAUGCAGGAUAG
RNAcentral lists this ribosomal RNA (348 nucleotides) under Triticum aestivum (bread wheat). RNAcentral's name for it is "partial small subunit ribosomal RNA". Lineage: Eukaryota; Viridiplantae; Streptophyta; Magnoliopsida; Poales; Poaceae. The record is from RNAcentral.